This 253-nucleotide ribosomal RNA is filed under the name uncultured bacterium. RNAcentral's name for it is "partial 16S ribosomal RNA". It matches the Rfam family "Bacterial small subunit ribosomal RNA", at positions 524 to 776 of the family's 1533-position model. The record is from RNAcentral.
UACAGAGGGUGCGAGCGUUAAUCGGCAUUCCUGGGCGUAAAGCGCACUUAGUCGGCUUUGCAAGUCGGGUGUGAAAUCCCCGGGCUCAACCUGGGAACUGCAUCCGAGACUGCAUUGCUAGAGUAUGGGAGAGGGAAGCGGAAUUUCUGGUGUAGCAGUGAAAUGCGUAGAUAUCGGGAGGAACAUCAGUGGCGAAGGCGGCUACCUGGCCCAAUACUGACACUCAGGUGCGACAGCGUGGGGAGCAAACAGG